Molecule: long non-coding RNA, 1105 nt
Filed under: Phoenix dactylifera (date palm)
Lineage: Eukaryota; Viridiplantae; Streptophyta; Magnoliopsida; Arecales; Arecaceae
Description: long non-coding RNA (PDAC_LNC014908)
Source: RNAcentral
CACACUUGGCACAUUCAUGAUAACGAAAUUGAACUCUUGUUAAGUACUUAAAUCCUUUAUGCAUGACUAUUUUUCAGCUUUUACGUUGCUCUAUGCUCAUUGAUUUGUGUUAAUUUUACUUGUAUAGUGUGAAAUACAAAUUCCUUAUGCUUUUGUUGAGUGCAACAUAUAUUCCUUCUCUAUGAAAUAAUAAUUCCAGUGAUCCAAAGCUUAUUUGAUAGUGUGGUUUUCCCUGUCAUAGGUAGUUAUAACAGAUAAAACAUUCAAGUUUUAAACCUUGCAAUUCCUAAACAGUAUUUUCAACAGAGAUAAUGCAACCACAGUUCACCUGAUAUCUUUGCUCAACCAUUUCAUUUUCUUGGCUUCUCAAAUUUAGGUAUAAAUCUCACUUUUCAAAUGCUUGAUCCUGAGAGCUAUGAGAAACUAAAAGAGAAAUGAGCCUUGUAUAAAAACACAACCAGAUCUUUGAACCUUGUUAAGCCAUGUAGUAACUUUAUGGCAAUUGAGACUCAUCGCAAGUCUGGAUGGAAAUACAUAGCCCAAGAAAAAUGAAGCUUCUAGUCACAAGGUCAUGUUUCUUCAAAUUGGCAUAUAGCUCCUCUUGGCUCAAGAGCUAGAACACAUUUGAUGAUCUAGGAUGCAACGUGCUAUUAUGAUUCAUACUGUACUCUCAGAUGCUAUUAAAGCCUACACUAAGAUAAAUUUACUGAAAAGCAUCAAGAAACUACGUCUGUCAACCUCAAAGUGCAUGUAAGAUUUAACAACUUUAAUGAGAUUACCCACUUCUUUUAGACCAUCCUGCAUUUUAAACGCUGCAGUAUAGGCUGAAUUAUAAUUUUACAUCACUCUUUGUUCUAUCUUUGAACACCUAUUAGUAUUCAUAGAAAGAACCAAAUGUUUAACCAAUCCUUAUUCAAAUCCAACAAUCAGUGCUCAUUGUCUAGCACCAAUCCCCAGAAUUGGCGUAGCUAGAAACACACGAAAAUCAUCUCUUGUUUUUAGUAGCGCGCUGUGAUCCAUAUUCACAUCUUAUAGUUCGUUGUCAAAUAAAUAUCCCUAUAUUAGCUUAUGGCAAUGUUGAAUAUGUCGUGCAGUUGUAGAACCU